This is a long non-coding RNA of Macaca mulatta (Rhesus monkey), 5371 nucleotides long. RefSeq lists it as uncharacterized. The record is from RefSeq and is a predicted model, not a curated record. NCBI's taxonomy places the organism in Eukaryota, Metazoa, Chordata, Mammalia, Primates, Cercopithecidae.
GGAAGAAAAUGGGCUGGAGAAUGGAUGUUGAGAUCAAAGCAUUUGUGCUUCAGGAUACAAACUUGGAUUCCAUUCCUAGUUCUUUAACAAACGUGUGUAACAAUCAGUAAGUCACUUCUCUGGAAUACAGGUUACUUAUGUGUAUAAAGUAAGUUGGAAAGAAGUAGCAGGUUUCAACAUGUGCUCUAUAAAAGUUGGAUUUCUUGGUCAAAUAAGUUUGGUAAAUGUUGCAUUCCAUAUCUCCCUGUCUGAAAUUCUCACAAGGGCCUGAACUCAUUAAAGCCCCUAAAAGUCUUGUAGUAAAAACAUCUAGUUAUUUUUUUACCGAGUUUUUACAAGUCUAUUUAAUCAUGUUACUCUUUCAAUAACAGCCUUGUAGAACUGCUAUUCAAUGGACCAAACUUUAGAAAAACUGGACUAGGGAAUAAUUGAUUUCUUCCAUGUUUACACUCCAUUUCAUGAACUUUGGUGAUAAGGAAACUGCAUAUUAACUUUAUUAGAAAAUCUAAUCAAUUAACUGUUUUCUUCUGAGUCUCCUAGGGGUAAUGACUAAGGGAGGGAGAAUACUGAGCUAUUAAUUUCUUCUAUAUGUCUGUGACACAAGGGUCACAGAAAGAAAAUUAAAUUUGGUUCACUAGAGCAAAGUAAAUCCAGGCAUUUUUAUUGUUUGUGACACGAGAAUACUUAUAGAAGAUCAUAAAUGUUUGACUGUAUCUAUAUCAAAAUAAACAAUAAUAAAAAAGUUCUGAAUUACUAAAUCUGUAGUUUAUUCUUAAUUAAACUUUUUAUUCUCCUUUCAUGCAAAUAAAAUAUAGCUAGUAUUUGUAGAAAGGUUAAUACAUAAAAAUGCAAAAGUAGUUUUUCAGAGAAUUGUUGUCACUUAUUGGAGAUAGGGAGCACAUUUAUUAGAGUAAAAUAGGGAAUUUUUUUACUUUUACUUGAAUACACUGUCCUGUAGGUUUUUCAGUAUAAUUGGCCCUAUGACUUGCCUCAAAUAUUACGAUUAAUGAAAUUAUCCAUUCAUUGAUGGUCAUGUUUUGAGUAUUAGCUUUUAUGCCCAUGGAUAAAAUAAAUCACCCAAGGAAUGACCAUUCUCCCUGCAGGACUGCAAUCCAGGCUUCAUUUGACAGAAUGUGGCUAUGGCUCCCUGGAUAGUGGAGAAGUUGCUGAGAUGCUGUGCUGGCAGAACUUGCUAGAAAUCUGCCCUCUGGAGUGCUAGGCGAUGUCAUUCACAGAAAUGUCCCCCACCUCUGGAAUCACAUGCCCGCUAACUGAGAAGGUCUGGGGAAAGAAUUACAGGGGGAGACAGUUUACUAGAAGCACUUCCUAAAAAGCUAUCUGAAGGGUGCCAGAGGAAACUGCUUGGUUAUUGGGUACUGAUAACCAAUGUACCCUGUAGGAGCCAAGCACUGAAGAAGUUGUUCCUUGCAAGAGCAACACUCUGAGAUAACAUAUGCAACAGAAAGUUUGGUGCUGGAAAAUUAUUUGCUGCAGGAGCCUGGUAAGGGAGCACCAGAAUGAAGAGGAGAAAAGUCUUUUCUCCUGAAAUGUCUCUCCAGUGCCCUCUAAUGACCAAGCUUAACAUCAUGCCAGCUGGCAAAUGAUCUAAAGAGUCCAAAUCCAUCUUCACAGCAGGAAAUGAAGGAUGAAUUUGGAACUGGAAGACAAUACAUUGAUAACGGGUGAGCAUACUCAUUAGAAUUUUGGCAGGCAUAGUCCCUGAAUUAAGAGUGUGUAGAUAUGUUUGCAUAAUUUAAGCCCUAUUUUAAAAUUUAUAUGCAGAAUUCUGUAAUAGCCCCCAAGGUUCCUAUUACCUGAGUACACACCUUAUAGAAUCUCCUCCUGUUGAGAGCAGUGAGAACCUGAAAAUAUGAUUGGAUCACACGCUUGUGACUCUCGGGAUUAUGUUACACAUCUUUUGACUUUGAGAUGUUUAUCAAAAGGGAGAUCAUCUUGGAUAGGACUAACUUGAUCAUGUAGGUGAGUCCUUUAUGAGAAAAAGCAAGACAUGAGAGAGCUGCUGUUUAGUUGUUCUAGAAGUUGUCACAGGUCUGCUGUGAUGGGACUCAUGGAGGAGGUCAUCUAGCAGAGUGGUCUAGAGGCUGAGACUGAUCCCCACCCAACCACUACCAAAAAAUGGGAUCUUCAAUCAUAUGCCCUCAAGGAAAUUAAUUCUGACAGUAACCUGUGAGCUUAGAAGAGGACCCCAAGCUCAGAUGAGAUUGCAGUUCCUGCCAUCUUCUCAAUUCUAACUUUAUGAGUCCCUGAGCAAAGAAUCCAGGCAUGCUAUGCCUGCACUUAUGCCUGCAGAAAAUGUGAGAUAAUGCAUCAGUGCAUUAUUAACUGUGAAGUUUGUGGUAAUUUGUUAUAAAGCAAAAGUAAAACAAAUACAAAUAGUAUUUUUCUUGCUUUGUCCCUACUUCUCAUCUAAAAGAAGCAUUCCUUGCUAUUUCUGCACUCCUAAGGUCAAAUUUUUUCAUUGUCUCUCAAUUAAUUUCUUAUGGCAAAUAAUUAAAAUGUUGCCUAAUAAAUUUUUAAAAUGAUAAAACACUUCCAAGAACUAAUAGCUACUUUUAAAGUAUGUCAGUGGCAGAGCUUUUGCUUGAGUGUUCCUGAUAAUGAAAUAAUAAAAGCUGGCAUUUAUUGGUAACACACAUGGCGUGUGAGACAAAUACUUUACCAGGAAUUAUAUAUUUAUCAUUUUGAAUUUUUCUAAUGGAUUCUAUGAGUUAGACUGUACUUUCUUCCUGAAAUUUUACAACAUUAAAUGGCCUGCCCAAAAUACAACAAAGAGUGAUUGAUUAAGCCAUCAUCACAUCCAGGAUUGCCAGUGUGAAUCCCAAUUUAACUGCACAAUACAAAACUGCCUCAAACUGAAGUGACUGUGGUUUGAAUUGACUGAUAAUAACAAAUUUUGAUUCUAGCACUAAUGUUUACAACUUUUUUUUGCAGACUUUUUACAGUAAUGCUAUGUUUGGAGUCACAUGGUAGGAACAUAUAAUGUUAAAAGCAUGAUUUAAAAUAUAUUUUAGUAACUAUGGCAGGUACUACUAGUUAUCUAGAACAUUCAUUCUUUCUUCCUCCUAGUUAGAUGGAUUUGUCUGAGGAUGUGAUCACCCACCGACUCUCUACAUUUCCUUAGUGAUGCUACUAGUAAAAUUAAAGCCAAGCAAUUAAACCCUACCUAAUGAUAUGUCAGCAGAAGUGAUGCAUAUGAAUUCAUAGUCACAUUCUUAAAAAGAAGCAACUUGUGACUCUCCUUCAGCUCUUUCUUUUUUUAACUACUUCAGGUAAUUAAAUAUAAUUUAAUAAUGGGGGGUGAGGGCCAAUUUUUCUAGAAUUAACUUCAAGAUGUUUUUCCCUAUUUCCUUCAAGAUCCAAUGCAUGAUAUUUAUUAAGUAUGGUCUGAGACAAGAACAAAUUCCAAAACUAAUCAGAUAGAGCAUAGUAUAUUCAGUGUAUUGUGGAGUUAUGGGUAAGUUAAACAUUGAGAGACCUGGGGAGUCGAAUGGAUGCAUCCUGAAGGUGAAUGGGAAUUUAAAAUGUGUGUGUUUUCUACUCUUCUAUCAUAAAAAUAAGUAUUUUAAGGUUUCUCCAGUAAUAGUAAAGCAGGACUAAUAUACGAAGUUUGUACUAUUCAUAAAUGCAAUUAUCUGAAAAAAAUGUAGGCAACAGUUUCUUAAUAUGUUUAUUUUUUUAUAUGAAACAGGAAUUUUACAAAAAGGGGUAAUAACCGUUUGCUACGUGGUAAGGUUUGGGGGUGAAGGACAAAAUAUUUUGAAACUCUGUGAAAGGUAAGGGAAUCAGAGCAGAGCUUCCCACAGCACAGUUAAGGGCAUAGUCUCUGCUUCAUUACGCUAAAAUUACACAGUCUUUCAAGACUCCAAAGCCUGCUCUGCCUCCUUCCUGCUCGGUGAGACAGCCCUUCCUACCCAGCAUUCACUGGAUGCUUUAGACAAGUAAAGGUAGAUCAAAGCAAGAGAGAGAAUAACAAGUUUGGCACAAAAUGAUUUUAGAGUCAGUUGUAUCUGGGUCAGAAUCACAUAUAGGUGAAAGAAAGAAGAUUGUUAGACCAUGUAUAAGGCCAAUUAGCAUGUAUUUUAUAUAUUCUUAACAUUUUACGCUUAUUAACCUUCUUCUCAUGGGUUCCUUUUAACUUAGUAAUGAAAAAAUGUGUGAAAUUAUGAAGACAAAAUUAUAUGCUACAAGAAGCCUUAGAGCUUAUAUAAUCCUGCCCUCCCAUUUGACUUUUAUUUUAUAGAUGAGAGAACUGAAUCCCAGGAAGGUUCAGUGGCUUAACCUUAAUUCACACAAAUAUUUAUUUAUCUAGCAAGGUCUAACAUUAAGAACAAAAGCAGGUUUUUCCUGCUCCUUCUCCCAAUAUAUGGUUUUUGAUUCAUUGCACAGAUGAUAAAUUUAAAUGAACAUUAUUUUUAUAAUAUUAUCUGGUAAAUACCACUUUCAAUACCACAGCAUUUUCGGUAUUGUUAACAACAGGAAAAAAGUGGUAGUUAGAAACAUAACAUAUCAUUUAACAUAUUCCCCUAGCUCCACACAUUUUGGCAGUUAAUGUUUCUGCACUUGUGUUCUUAGCUACCCUUACAAGUUCUGAGGGAUAAACCUUAAAAUCCUCAUUUAAAUUAGAAACAGGGGCUAUGUGAACAAAAAUAAAACCAGGAAAUAUGACUUUUUCUUUUAUGUAUAGAAGAUCAUAUGAGAUUGUCCCAUGACCUAUUUAUUCACAAAAGUUGUGCAUUCUCUGCAAUGGAGUUGCCUUUGGGCUUGGUCAAAUCUUGUUAUAUAACAGUCAUAUAUGGAAGAGGUGGUUUACAAGGAAAUAAAAGAUUAGUCAGAAUGUUAUUAAUCUAUUCCUGACUGAAUUAUUUCAGGCAGCAUAGCUAUCACUAAAUCCAAAAGUCUUCAGAGAAGUUUUAAAUGGGAUCUACUGUGCAAAGGAGUGGGGUGUGCACACACAGAAGUCAGUUGCCUUAAUCCUAUCGUAUUUAAACAGGCUUCAAUGCUCAACAUGCCAAUAUGCUUGGAAAUUCUUCAAUACCGUGACCUCUAAAAGCCCAGCUAAUUUCGCAAAAAGAGAAACAGGGGUCCUGCAUACCAAUGAAACUACUGACAUCAGCUGAUCUGAAUGACCCAACAAGAAGCUUACAUACACAAAGAAUGCAGUUUCCACAUCCUAAUGAUUUCAGUCUCCUUACCCUGACCAAUCAAUGAUUCCAAUUUGCCUGUCCCAUCCCCUCCACAAUUUUCUUAAAAACCCCAGAUCAGUAUAUUCCUUGGGGAGAUGGAUUUUGGUGUUUUCUGCCAUCUCCUUGCUUGGCUGCCCUGUGAUCAUUAAACUCUUUCUCUGCUGCAA